Molecule: ribosomal RNA, 274 nt
Filed under: uncultured bacterium
Lineage: Bacteria
Description: partial 16S ribosomal RNA
Rfam family: Bacterial small subunit ribosomal RNA
Source: RNAcentral
AUACGGAGGGUGCAAGCGUUACUCGGAAUCACUGGGCGUAAAGCGCGCGCAGGCGGGCUGAUAAGUUGGAUGUGAAAGCCUACGGCUCAACCGUAGAACUGCAUCCAAAACUGUCAGGCUAGAGUGUGGGAGAGGAAGAUGGAAUUAGUUGUGUAGGGGUAAAAUCCGUAGAGAUAACUAGGAAUACCAAAAGCGAAGGCAAUCUUCUGGAACACUACUGACGCUGAGGCGCGAAGGCGUGGGGAGCAAACAGGAUUAGAAACCCUAGUAGUCC